AUUUCAAGGGCCGAAACCCUUAAUCUGCGUUAUUCCUUUACAUUAGACAGUUAUGGAUAACUGUUCCUUCUUUCUUUUUACAUAUCUAAGCAUGUCGUUUAAAUUAAAAUGUCAAUUCAGAAUCUUUAGAUACAAACACUAUACCAUUUAAAUUUAAACCAAUGCAUUAACCAUGUUACUUUAUUCAACUAAUUCAUUUUGAAUUUUCACAAAAAGUUAAGCAAUAAGACAAUUGUCCCUUUUUUCAUCCCAAAACUCCAUUAUCUUUCAAACAUUGCUGAGGAUAAAAAAUCUAACAUACUUCUCUCUUCAGAGGUUUUUGACUCAAUUUGCAGGUGAAGCAGAACAAAAAUAAUCAAAGGA
This 363-nucleotide unclassified non-coding RNA is filed under the name Hevea brasiliensis (rubber tree). Lineage: Eukaryota; Viridiplantae; Streptophyta; Magnoliopsida; Malpighiales; Euphorbiaceae. The record is from RNAcentral.